UCGAUUUUCGGGUCAUCCGGGUGGUCAGUCAGGGGAACUGGCAAGUGGAAAGGAAAGCUUGCAUUCAAGUUUCAAAAACCUCGCAGCCAGCUGCAUCCAAGAAGGCAGCAGUCUUUCAUAAGCCAAAGAGGAUAAUGAAUUCCUUGCCUCUUCCUAGUUGUUGCUUCCCCCUCUCCGGUGAAAUGGGCAAAGACUUCACCGAUAGUGAAAAGCUGGAAGCUUUGCUGGCACAAAAAAACUCUAGCCCCUUUCUCGCGUUGGCUGCUUGCUUUGCACGCUAAAGGCCUUUUGUUUAACGUUUCCCCUUCCCUUACUAAGCUUUCAGUCCUAAUAGCGACUUCCUUGCCUCCCAGGAAAGUGAAAGUAAGCACUAUUCCCUAAGCCCUACAGUUCCUUCGCUGGUAGCAAACCCGUAAAGCAGAAGUUGAGGAACGAAAGAGGAGACGACCGCCACUUGACC
Molecule: long non-coding RNA, 460 nt
Filed under: Elaeis guineensis (African oil palm)
Lineage: Eukaryota; Viridiplantae; Streptophyta; Magnoliopsida; Arecales; Arecaceae
Description: long non-coding RNA (EGUI_LNC016643)
Source: RNAcentral